This 459-nucleotide ribosomal RNA is filed under the name uncultured bacterium. RNAcentral's name for it is "partial 16S ribosomal RNA". It matches the Rfam family "Bacterial small subunit ribosomal RNA", at positions 338 to 795 of the family's 1533-position model. The record is from RNAcentral.
CCUACGGGGAGCAGCAGUGAGGAAUAUUGGUCAAUGGUCGGGAGACUGAACCAGCCAAGCCGCGUGAGGGAUGAAGGUACAGAGUAUCGUAAACCUCUUUUGUCAGGGAACAAAGGCGGGGACGUGUCCCCGGAUGAGUGUACCUGAAGAAAAAGCAUCGGCUAACUCCGUGCCAGCAGCCGCGGUAAUACGGAGGAUGCGAGCGUUAUCCGGAUUUAUUGGGUUUAAAGGGUGCGCGGGCGGUCUGUUAAGUUAGCGGUAAAAGCCCGGGGCUCAACCCCGGACCGCCGUUGAAACUGGCAGUAUAGAGUUGGAGAGAAGUAUGCGGAAGGCGUGGUGUAGCGGUGAAAUGCAUAGAUAUCACGCAGAACUCCGAUUGCGAAGGCAGCAUACCGGCGCUCAACUGACGCUCAUGCACGAAAGUGUGGGUAUCGAACAGGAUUAGAUACCCGAGUAGUC